UAGCAGGAAAGUAAAAACAUAGUUUGGUUGGUAGUCCAAACAUAAUGGUUUUUGAUUAUCAGUAUCCUUCCUCCUAGGUCGUCCGUCUUUCCUAAUUAUUUU
This 102-nucleotide non-coding RNA is filed under the name Ligilactobacillus acidipiscis. RNAcentral describes it as "Lactobacillus acidipiscis Azaaromatic sequence". It matches the Rfam family "azaaromatic riboswitch aptamer (yjdF RNA)". The record is from RNAcentral. Lineage: Bacteria; Bacillati; Bacillota; Bacilli; Lactobacillales; Lactobacillaceae.